UCGCAUCGCCGCGCCUAAUCGGUGGCGAG
RNAcentral lists this small RNA (29 nucleotides) under Bombyx mori (domestic silkworm). RNAcentral describes it as "ovarian small RNA-28628". Lineage: Eukaryota; Metazoa; Arthropoda; Insecta; Lepidoptera; Bombycidae. The record is from RNAcentral.